RNAcentral lists this ribosomal RNA (1972 nucleotides) under Legionellales bacterium. RNAcentral describes it as "bacterial LSU rRNA". It matches the Rfam family "Bacterial large subunit ribosomal RNA", at positions 1 to 1998 of the family's 2925-position model. Lineage: Bacteria; Pseudomonadati; Pseudomonadota; Gammaproteobacteria; Legionellales. The record is from RNAcentral.
GUUAUAUGACCAAGAUAUUAAGCGCAAACGGUGGAUGCCUAGGCAGUAGAAGGCGAUGAAAGACGUGGUAGCCUGCGAAAAGCUUCGGAUAGUUGGCAAACGAACUGUGACCCGAAGGUGUCUGAAUGGGAAAACCCGGCCAGUUAGACUGGUCAUCAAUAACUGAAUACAUAGGUUAUUGAAGCGAACGCGGAGAAUUGAAACAUCUUAGUACCCGUAGGAAAAGAAAUCAACCGAGAUUCUGUGAGUAGCGGCGAGCGAAAGCGGAGCAGCCCAGUUACAUCAAUUUAGCAUGGUUAAUUAGAAUCACCUGGAAAGGUGAGCCAAAGAGAGUGAUAGCCUCGUAUAGGAGUUGCUAUGCUAAAGGGUAACGAAGAGUAGGUCGGGACACGUGUUAUCUUGACUGAAGAUGGGGGGACCAUCCUCCAAGGCUAAAUACUCUCUACUGACCGAUAGUGAACCAGUACCGUGAGGGAAAGGCGAAAAGAACCCCGAAAGGGGAGUGAAAUAGAACCUGAAACCGUUUGCGUACAAGCAGUAGGAGCAUGUAAUUUAUUACGUGUGACUGCGUACCUUUUGUAUAAUGGGUCAGCGAGUUAUUUGUAGUGGCAAGCUUAACUGAAUAAGGGAGGCGAAGGGAAACCGAGUCUUAAUAGGGCGAUAGUCGCUAUGAAUAGACCCGAAGCCAGGCGAUCUAUCCAUGUCCAGGGUGAAGGUCAGGUAACACUGACUGGAGGCCCGAACCCACUCCCGUUGAAAUGGUAGGGGAUGAGAUGUGGAUCGGAGUGAAAGGCUAAUCAAGCCUGGCGAUAGCUGGUUCUCCUCGAAAGCUAUUUAGGUAGCGCCUUGCGAGAUGACCUUUGGGGGUAGAGCACUGUUUAGGCUAGGGGGGAGUGAUAUCCUUACCAAACCUAGGCAAUCUCCGAAUACUGAAGAGUUUAUCGCAGGAGACACACGGCGGGUGAUAACGUCCGUUGUGGAGAGGGAAACAACCCAGACCGUCAGCUAAGGUCCCAAAGAGGUAGUUAAGUGGGAAACGAUGUGAGAAGGCCGAGACAGCCAGGAGGUUGGCUUAGAAGCAGCCAUCCUUUAAAGAAAGCGUAAUAGCUCACUGGUCGAGUCGGCUUGCGCGGAAGAUGUACCGGGGCUAAAACUAUCCACCGAAGCUACGGAUUCAGUAUUAUGUACUGAGUGGUAGAGGAGCGUUCUGUAAGCUGUUGAAGGUGUGCUGAGAAGUAUGCUGGAGGUAUCAGAAGUGCGGAUGCUGACAUAAGUAACGAUAAUGCGGGUGAGAAUCCCGCACGCCGAAAGUCUAAGGUUUCCAGCGCAACGUUCGUCGGCGCUGGGUGAGUCGGCCCCUAAGGCGAGGCUGAAAAGCGUAGUCGAUGGGAAACAGGUUAAUAUUCCUGUACUUGGAAUAUCAGUGAAGUGAUGACGGAGAAGGCUAAGUGAGCCAGAGAACGGUAGUUCUGGUUCAAGCGUGUAGGCAGAGUUCUUAGGAAAAUCCGGGAGCUCGUUAAUGCUGAGGCGUGAUGAGUAGUUUCAUUAUGAGACGAAGGAGCUGAUGCCCUGCUUCCAGGAAAAGUUGCUAAACAUAUGAUAUUUUGAACCGUACCGCAAACCGACACAGGUAGACAGGUAGAGAAUACUAAGGCGCGUGAGAGAACUCGGGUGAAGGAACUAGGCAAAAUGGUACCGUAACUUCGGGAGAAGGUACGCCGCUGGUUGUGAAGGUCUUAACGGCUGGAGCGAUUGGCGGCCUCAGAAACCAGGUGGCUGCGACUGUUUAACAAAAACACAGCACUCUGCAAACUCGUAAGAGGAAGUAUAGGGUGUGACGCCUGCCCGGUGCCGGAAGGUUAAUUGAUGAUGUGAGAGCAUUUGAUCGAAGCCCCGGUAAACGGCGGCCGUAACUAUAACGGUCCUAAGGUAGCGAAAUUCCUUGUCGGGUAAGUUCCGACCUGCACGAAUG